Molecule: ribosomal RNA, 292 nt
Filed under: uncultured eukaryote
Lineage: Eukaryota
Description: partial 18S ribosomal RNA
Rfam family: Eukaryotic small subunit ribosomal RNA
Source: RNAcentral
GGUUGAUCCUGCCAGUAGUCAUAUGCUUGUCUCAAAGAUUAAGCCAUGCAUGUCUAAGCACAAACUUUAACACAGUGAAGCUGCGAAUGGCUCAUUAGGUCACCCAUGAUUUCUUGGAUCGUACAAUCCUACUUGGAUAACUGUGGUAAUUCUAGAGCUAAUACAUGCGAGCAAGCUCCGACCCUUCGGGGAAAGAGCGCGUUUAUUAGAUCAAAACCAAUCGGGCCUUCGGGUUCGUACGUUUGGUGACUCUGGAUAACUUUGAGCGGAUCGCACGGGCUUGACCCGGCGA